CUACGGGAGGCAGCAGUUGGGAAUCUUGCACAAUGGGGGAAACCCUGAUGCAGCGACGCCGCGUGGAGGAUGAAGGAUCUAGGUCUGUAAACUCCUUUUGCAGGGAAAGACUUAGGACGGUACCCUGCGAAUAAGCCCCGGCUAACUACGUGCCAGCAGCCGCGGUAAGACGUAGGGGGCGAGCGUUGUCCGGAUUUACUGGGCGUAAAGAGCGCGUAGGCGGCCUGUUAAGUGAGAACUGAAAUCUCCAGAGCUCAACUCGGAAACUGGUUUUCAUACUGGCAGGCUAGAGGGAUGCAGAGGUAAGUAGAAUCCCUGGUGUAGCGGUGACAUGCAUUGAUAUCAGGAGGAAUACCCGUGGCGAAGGCGGCUUACUGGGCAUCAUCUGACGCUGAGGCGCGAAAGCGUGGGUAGCAAACAGGAUUAGAAACCCGUGUAGUCC
RNAcentral lists this ribosomal RNA (442 nucleotides) under uncultured bacterium. RNAcentral describes it as "bacterial SSU rRNA". It matches the Rfam family "Bacterial small subunit ribosomal RNA", at positions 339 to 796 of the family's 1533-position model. The record is from RNAcentral.